UCCAUUUUACAAAUGAAGGCUUCUGAGGCGC
Molecule: non-coding RNA, 31 nt
Filed under: Rattus norvegicus (Norway rat)
Lineage: Eukaryota; Metazoa; Chordata; Mammalia; Rodentia; Muridae
Source: RNAcentral